AUGUCCAUCUCACUCUGCUCGGAGUUUAUCCCCCUGCCCCAACAAUGGCAGCUCCUCCUCCUCCUGACACUCGUAUCCCUCGUGCUCUUGAUCAGGAGACUGAGCAACAAAGGGCUCAAGCUACCGCCAGGCCCAUCCCGGAUUCCGAUCCUGGGGAACCUGCACCAGCUGGGCGUGCUGCCGCACCGGAGCUUACGGGAUCUUGCACGGAAGCAUGGGCCGGUAAUGCAGCUGCAGCUCGGCACCGUGCGGACGGUGGUGGUGUCGUCGGCUGAGGCGGCGCGCGAGGUGAUGAAGACGCACGACGAGGACUGCUGCACCCGGCCCGUGUCCCCCGGGAUGAAGCGGCUGUUCUACGACCUCAAGAACGUCGGCUUUGCGCCAUACGGUGCCUACUGGCAUGCCAUGCGCAAGUUCUUCGUGGUCGAGCUCUUCGGUGUGCGCCAUGUCGAGGCAGCAUGGCAUGCACGCCAGCAUCAGGUGGAGAAACUGAUGAGCACCUUGAGCAGCCUGGCCGGAGAGCCGGUAGCGCUCAAGGAGCACAUCUUAAGCCUGGCUGAUGGCAUCAUCGGCAUGCUUGGAUUUGGCGACAUGUACAAUAGUGACAAGUUCCCACACCACAAGAACUUGGAGCACGUGCUUGAGGAGGCCAUAUACAUGCAGGCCAGCUUUUCCGCCGAGGACUAUUUCCCCAACAUCGUCGGCCGCCUAGUCGACCAAAUCACCGGCCUCGCCUCUCGUCGUGAGCGGAUCUUCAGGCAGCUUGAUACAUUCUUCGAGGUCAUCAUUGAGCAGCAUCUUGACCCUCAGCGUGUCAAGCCUCGGAACGAUGACCUCAUUGACCGGCUCAUCGAUCUAUGGAAGGAAAACAGUGGCACCCUCAACAUUACAAGAGACCAUGUCAAGGGCAACAUAUUUGGCACGUUCAUUGGUGGCUCGGACACGACCUCAGCGACGAUUCUAUGGGCGAUGGCAGAGCUGACCCGGAAUCCCCGACUACUGGAGAGGGCGCAAGACGAGAUGAGGGCCGUGGUGGGAGGCAACGAGAGGGUGCGACCAGAUGAUCUGGCCAAGCUGGUCUACCUCAAGCUGGUGGUGGAGACCCUACGGCUGCACCCACCAGCGACGAUGCUACUGCCGAGGGAGGCCAUGCGGGACAUCCAGAUUGGAGGCUAUGACGUGUUGGCCAAGACGCGGAUCUAUGUGAACGUGUGGGCCAUUGGUAGGGACCCGGCAAACUGGCCAGACGAGCCGGAAGAGUUCAAACCAGAGAGGUUGGAGACGAGCAAGAUAGACUUCAAAGGAGGGCAUUUCGAGCUAACUCCAUUCGGCGCAUGGCAGCGGAUAUGCCCCGCACUGCCUAUGAGCACGGCCACCGUGGAGUUCACACUGGCCAACCUGCUAUAUAGCUUCGAGUGGGUGCUUCCGGAGGGGAUCGUAGUGAACAUGGAGGAGGAAGGCAAGCUUAUCCCCUUCCUAAAGACACCGCUCUUGCUGGUGCCCACCCCAUACCGGCACAUCUAA
This 1524-nucleotide ribosomal RNA is filed under the name Triticum aestivum (bread wheat). Its description in RNAcentral is "partial small subunit ribosomal RNA". The record is from RNAcentral. Lineage: Eukaryota; Viridiplantae; Streptophyta; Magnoliopsida; Poales; Poaceae.